Molecule: transfer RNA, 75 nt
Filed under: Perkinsus olseni
Lineage: Eukaryota; Perkinsozoa; Perkinsida; Perkinsidae
Description: tRNA-Val
Source: RNAcentral
GCUGGAAUGGUCUAGUUGGUUUAUGACGAUUGCCUAACACGCAGUAGGUCCCGAGUUCGGUUCUCGGUUCUAGUA